CCGUGCAAAGGUAGCGUAAUCACUUGUCUUUUAAAUGAAGACCUGUAUGAAAGGCAUCACGAGAGUUUAACUGUCUCUAUUUUCUAAUCAAUGAAAUUGAUCUAUUCGUGCAGAAGCGAAUAUAAUAACAUUAGACGAGAAGACCCUAUGGAGCUUCAAACACUUAAAUUAAUUAUGUAAUCAUCCACUUCCCAGGAUAUAAACAAAAUAUACAAUACUUCUAAUUUAACUGUUUUUGGUUGGGGUGACCAAGGGGAAAAACAAAUCCCCCCCAUCGAUUGAGUACUAAGUACUUAAAAAUUAGAAUGACAAUUCUAAUUAAUAAAAUAUUUAUCGAAAAAUGACCCAGGAUUUCCUGAUCAAUGAACCAAGUUACCCUAGGGAUAACAGCGCAAUCCUUUCUCAGAGUCCCUAUCGAAGAAAGGGUUUACGACCUCGAUGUUGGAUCAGGACAUCCUAAUGGUGCAACCGCUAUUAAGGGUUCGUUUGUUCAACGAUUAACAGUCCUACGUGAUCUGAGUUCA
Molecule: ribosomal RNA, 524 nt
Filed under: Carcharhinus longimanus (oceanic whitetip shark)
Lineage: Eukaryota; Metazoa; Chordata; Chondrichthyes; Carcharhiniformes; Carcharhinidae
Description: partial 16S ribosomal RNA
Rfam family: Bacterial large subunit ribosomal RNA
Source: RNAcentral